CCAAUAGCGUAUAUUAAAGUUGUUGCAGUUAAAAAGCUCGUAGUUGAACUUCAGGCCUGUCCAGAUGGUCCGCCUUAAUUGGUGUGUACUGUCCUUGGGUGGGUCCUACCUUCUGGCGAAGCGGCAUGGCCUUAAUUGGUUGUGUCGGGGAAGCAGGACUUUUACUGUGAAAAAAUUAGAGUGUUCAAAGCAGGCAUAAU
RNAcentral lists this ribosomal RNA (200 nucleotides) under uncultured Glomus. RNAcentral's name for it is "partial small subunit ribosomal RNA". It matches the Rfam family "Eukaryotic small subunit ribosomal RNA", at positions 591 to 790 of the family's 1831-position model. The record is from RNAcentral. Lineage: Eukaryota; Fungi; Glomeromycota; Glomeromycetes; Glomerales; Glomeraceae. RNAcentral also lists the same sequence under 1 other name.